RNAcentral lists this ribosomal RNA (301 nucleotides) under uncultured bacterium. RNAcentral's name for it is "partial 16S ribosomal RNA". It matches the Rfam family "Bacterial small subunit ribosomal RNA", at positions 509 to 807 of the family's 1533-position model. The record is from RNAcentral.
CAGUCGCCGCGGUAAUACGUAGGGUGCAAGCGUUAAUCGGAAUUACUGGGCGUAAAGCGUGCGUAGGCGGUUUGUUAAGUCUGCUGUGAAAUCCCCGGGCUCAACCUGGGAAUGGCAGUGGAUACUGGCAAGCUAGAGUGUGUCAGAGGAUGGUGGAAUUCCCGGUGUAGCGGUGAAAUGCGUAGAGAUCGGGAGGAACAUCAGUGGCGAAGGCGGCCAUCUGGGACAACACUGACGCUGAGGCACGAAAGCGUGGGGAGCAAACAGGUUUAGAUACCCCAGUAGUCCCUGUCUCUUAUAC